RNAcentral lists this long non-coding RNA (1533 nucleotides) under Mytilus galloprovincialis (Mediterranean mussel). Lineage: Eukaryota; Metazoa; Mollusca; Bivalvia; Mytilida; Mytilidae. The record is from RNAcentral.
GAAUUCUUUUGGUUCUUUGAUAUGCUGAAUCUAAACAUGUACUUAGAUUUUUGAUUAUGGGCCCAGUUUUCAAGUUGGUCCAAAUCAGGGUCCAAAAUUAUUAAUAUUAAGUAUUGUGCAAUAGCAAGAAAUUUUCAAUUGCACAGUAUUCCGCAAUAGCAAGAAAUUUUCAAUUGCACAGUAUUGUGCAAUAGCAAGAAAUUUUCAAUUGCACAGUAUUGUGGAAUAGCAAGAAAUCUUCAAUUGCAUAGUAUUGUGCAAUAGCAAGAAAUCUUCAAUUGCACAGUAUUGCGCAAUAGCAAGAAAUAUCUAAUUGCACAAUAUUGCGCAAUAGCAAGAAAUUUUCAAUUGCACAGUUUUGCGCAAUAGCAAGAAAUAUUCAAUUGCACAGUAUUGUCCUGUUUUCAAAUUGGUCUACAUUCAGGUCCAAAGGGUAAAAAAUUAAACUUUGUUUGAUUUCAACAAAAAUUGAAUAUAUGGGCGUUCUUCAAUUUGCUGAAUCUAACCAUGUAUUUAGAUUUUUAAUAUUUGGGCCAGGUUAUCAAAUUGGUCCACAUUGUGGUCCAAAGGGUCUUAAAUUGAACAUUAUUUAAUUUCAUCAAAAAUUGAAUUCUUGGGAUUCUAUGAUAUGCUGAAUCUAACCAUUAGAUUUUGGAUAUUGGACCAUAAUAGGUAAAUGUCCAAUUUAAAAUUUUCAAGUUUAAGUUCUUAGACCACAUUCAUUCUGUGUCAGAAACCUAUGUUGUGUCAACAUUUAAUCAUAAUCCACAUUCAGAGCUGUAUCAACCUUGAAUGUUGUGUUCAUACUUGCCCCAACUGUUCAGGGUUAGAUCUCUGCGGUCAUAUAAAGUGGCGCCCUGCGGAGCAUCUGGUUGUAUAAAGUUUGAUGAGACUGACACUCUACAAAGUGUUGUUACAUAUGGUUAGUAUGUAAACAACUUGUGAAUUCAUCAAAUUUACAUCAUACAUGAUAAAUUGUAUAAGUUCAUGGAUAAUACUGAUUAAAAUUAUGAUUUUUAAAAUUAUGAAUUUUGAAGAACAUUUUUAAAUAUGAACAUUUAGUGUUUGUCCAAAAUCUGUUAACUCAUCAUCUUUCUCUUUUGACUUGCAUGUUUUUGAUAAAAUGAUUGAAGGUAUAAGCCAAGGGACUCUGUCUCUCUUGAUUCUUCUCAGAAUGACUGGAGGUAUAAGGCAAGGGACUCUGUCUCUCUUGAUUCUUCUCAGAAUGACUGGAGGUAUAAUCCAGGGGACUCUGUCUCUCUUGAUUCUUCUCAGAAUGACUGGAGGUAUAAGCUUGUCUCUCUCUGAGAUUCUUCUCAGAAUGAUUGCCAAGGGACUCCGUCUCCUUGAUUCUUCUCAGAAUGAUGGAGGUAUUUGUAGGGACUCUGUCUCUCUUGAUUCUUCUCAGAAUGACUGGAGGUAUAAGUAAGGGACUCUGUCUCUCUAGAUUCUUCUCAGAAUGAUUGGAGGUAUAAGUAGUGGGUCUCAUUGGGGUCUAAGCGUGACGCGGGAUUGCCGAUUUUUUGUAAGCGU